GACGAACGCUGGCGGCGUGCUUAACACAUGCAAGUCGAGCGAGAACCAGGCCUUCGGGCCUGGGGACGAGCGGCGAACGGGUGAGUAACACGUGGGUAAUCUGCCCUCGGUUCCGGAAUAGCCCGGGGAAACCCGGAUUAAUGCCGGAUAGCCUCUUGAGCUUUCGGGCUCUCGAGAAAAGGUAGCUUUGGCCUCUGACCGAGGAUGAGCCCGCGGCGGAUUAGCUUGUUGGCGGGGUAACGGCCCACCAAGGCAACGAUCCGUAGCUGGUCUGAGAGGACGAUCAGCCACACUGGGACUGAGACACGGCCCAGACUCCUACGGGAGGCAGCAGUGGGGAAUCUUGCGCAAUGGGCGAAAGCCUGACGCAGCGACGCCGCGUGGGGAAGAA
This 391-nucleotide ribosomal RNA is filed under the name uncultured bacterium. RNAcentral describes it as "bacterial SSU rRNA". It matches the Rfam family "Bacterial small subunit ribosomal RNA", at positions 28 to 412 of the family's 1533-position model. The record is from RNAcentral.